RNAcentral lists this ribosomal RNA (256 nucleotides) under uncultured prokaryote. RNAcentral's name for it is "partial 16S ribosomal RNA". It matches the Rfam family "Bacterial small subunit ribosomal RNA", at positions 524 to 780 of the family's 1533-position model. The record is from RNAcentral.
CACGUAGGGGCGAGCGUUGUCCGGAAUUACUGGGCGUAAAGGGCGCGCAGGCUGUUAUGCGAGUCUGCUGUGAAAUGUACCGGCUCAACCGGUGCCUUGCGGCGGAUACUGCAUAGCUGGAGUACUGGAGAGGGAAGUGGAAUUCCCGGUGUAGCGGUGAAAUGCGUAGAUAUCAGGAGGAACACCGAUGGCGAAGGCAGGUCUCUGGGCAGUAACUGACGCUGAGGAGCGAAAGCAUGGGUAGCGAACAGGAUUA